AUGGAGUCUGUUAAAGAGUGGUGGAGCCUUAAUGCAACCAACAGGACGCAAUUCCGACGACCACUCAUCUCUGUAAUGCUUCUCAUCUCAUGGGAAAUAUGGAAGGAACACAAUACAAGGGUCUUCCGCAACGUUGCGGUGCCGGUCGGAGUAAUCGUAGCUAAGAUUAAAGAGGAAUGCAUUUUAUGGGGUCUCACUGGGGCGAAGCAUCUGCGUAUUCUAAUGCCGCGAGAGUGGUGUUUUGUAAUUCGGCUGCUGGCCACAACCUCUAAACCUUCUUUCUUAUUCAAUGAAAACGGCAAAUCUUUUGCCUUGUUUCAAAAAAAAUGA
This 330-nucleotide ribosomal RNA is filed under the name Triticum aestivum (bread wheat). RNAcentral's name for it is "partial small subunit ribosomal RNA". The record is from RNAcentral. Lineage: Eukaryota; Viridiplantae; Streptophyta; Magnoliopsida; Poales; Poaceae.